This is a long non-coding RNA of Dermacentor silvarum, 705 nucleotides long. RefSeq lists it as uncharacterized. The transcript is spliced from 3 exons. Lineage: Eukaryota; Metazoa; Arthropoda; Arachnida; Ixodida; Ixodidae. The record is from RefSeq and is a predicted model, not a curated record.
GAACACGGUAACUGUUUCCAAAGCAGAAAAACUAAGGGCAAGGGCUCUGUACACAUUGCAUCGUAAUGUGGCUGAUGCUUGGGCAAAGCAAAUACUGUGUAUGGUAGAUUUGUGUGAGGCAAGCUAGGAGUCAAAAAGCCUGCUGCAUACUAGCAAAUGACCAACAUAUUGUUGCAUGUUGAAAUUCUUUUUUUAUUCCUCAUCACUCAUUUGUGUAGGGGAGACGGCUCUCACAACUGGAGAAGCCUGGAAAGCAUGCAGUACUCCACAAAACCAGUUUCAACGUAGAAUGUGUCUGCAUCUCAUAAUUUCAUGGCUGCAAGAGUGAGCCCAAUGCCUGUCGAGACAAGGUUUCUGUACAUGGCCAUGGCGCUCAAGGAAGAAACCGAGACUGUAGACUGCCAACGUUCAUUCCUGUUCCGGCAAAGACGGGCCAGCAGUGACCAGCAGGAUUUUACAAAGUGAACUCAUCACAGCUUGAGCCACUCCAUGCCACAAGCAGUUGCUCCUCGAGCCACCGUGCAAAGGUUCCUUGGGGCACAAGACCAACUCAGCGCCACAACCUUUCUUCUGCAGUUUUUCUACCUACUUAGCUAACCAGCAGCAAGUUUAUCCUUGCAAGGCAUGUGGGAACAGCUUUCACCAGGAAAAGUACAAGACGAGUGGUCGAAGAAAAUAAAAUUGCUUCUGUGAUGUAAAGUACUU